AUUGAACGCUGGCGGCAGGCCUAACACAUGCAAGUCGAGCGGAUGAGUGGAGCUUGCUCCAUGAUUCAGCGGCGGACGGGUGAGCAAUGCCUAGGAAUCUGCCUGGCAGUGGGGGACAACGUUUUGAAAGGAACGCUAAUACCGCAUACGUCCUACGGGAGAAAGUGGGGGAGCUUCGGACCUCACGCUAUCAGAUGAGCCUAGGUCGGACUAGCUAGUUGGUGAGGUAAAGGCUCACCAAGGCGACGAUCCGUAACUGGUCUGAGAGGAUGAUCAGUCACACUGGAACUGAGACACGGUCCAGACUCCUACGGGAGGCAGCAGUGGGGAAUAUUGGACAAUGGGCGAAAGCAUGAUCCAGCCAUGCCGCGUGUGUGAAGAAGGUCUUCGGGUUGUAAAGCACUUUAAGUUGGGAGGAAGGGCAGUAGGUUAAUACCCUGCUGUUUUGACGUUACCAACAGAAUAAGCACCGGCUAACUUCGUG
Molecule: ribosomal RNA, 484 nt
Filed under: uncultured bacterium
Lineage: Bacteria
Description: partial 16S ribosomal RNA
Rfam family: Bacterial small subunit ribosomal RNA
Source: RNAcentral